This is an RNA transcript of Tarenaya hassleriana, 1854 nucleotides long. It is a transcript of the gene named phosphatidylinositol N-acetylglucosaminyltransferase subunit P-like, with no coding region annotated. Lineage: Eukaryota; Viridiplantae; Streptophyta; Magnoliopsida; Brassicales; Cleomaceae. The record is from RefSeq and is a predicted model, not a curated record. The transcript is spliced from 3 exons.
CCUGGGAAAAUUGCCUUAAACUAAUGAGUAAGGAAAACAAAGCGAGCGGUGAGAGCCGGUCGCAGCGCUCAUGAAAAACUGCGUAGCGCAAGAAUUUAUGGAGGGGUAAUAGGCUGGCCGUUGCGUUGACGCUGCCUUACUUUUGGCAGAACUCGCUCGUGCGGGCCUCCCACGUGGACACCCAUCCCCCAAUUCCUCUUUAAUCUCAAAUUUCGAAUCUCCAUAAUUGAACUCAUUCUAUCGAGUGUCUGUCGGAUUAGGGUAAACCCUGUGUUUCACCUGGUGAGAUCUUCUGAUGUUCUGUCGUUUCUGGGAUUUCUUCAUUUCUCUGCUCGUUUUGGUGGGGGCUUCUUCUGUGAUGGUUGUUGGGUCGAAUUUUUUUGCUGUGCUAGAUCAUGUAAGAAAACCUCGAUUGAGUUCAUAUGGUUUUUGCUUUCUGCAGAAUGAGUGGAAGUUUUGCAAGCAUAUUCGAUUUUCCCAUAAUUCAUUCCCCGGUUCACUGUAUAUUUGGAUUUGCGAAAUGGUAAAAUGGGUCCUCGUUGUUUGUCACUGAAAUCGUUCGCUUGUAUUUCUGUUUGCGUGCUGUGUGUAGUUGUAAUUUGUUGCCCUCAAUUCUUACCAGGAUCCUAGCUUCGAGUUUUAGGGUUUCGAUUCACGGCGAAGUAAUCGAGCGUGGGUUGGAAGUGCAUUUGAUCAUGUUGAUCGACUCUAUUAAAUUGCUAAAUGAUCCUCUUUUUGUUGAUAAGAGUUCUUAUUCUGUAUAUAUGGAUUUGGAAAUAUCCAAAUCAGAUUGUCCUUCUAUUCGGUUUACGAUGAUUUUUACCGAGGCUUGCAGCCGAUUUGUAAUUUAGGGUUUUCACCAAUCAUACAUAUUCGAAACGGUUGAUGGAAUAUGAUUUGCAGUGGUGGCAUCUCAGCUCCUAUUUCUGUGCCCAUGGAAGAAGAGUGUUCAGUGAACAGUCCCAGAAGGGUCCUGAGCUUCUCAGAGAGGAGAAGGGCAAAAGCCGGUUUUCACGAUUCAGACAGCAGAAGAUCAUCUGGGUUUGGAGUUUCAGGAGAGCAUGGACCAAAGCCCUCUGAAGUUUAUGGAUUUGUCGGAUGCAUUUCGACGGUUGUUGCCACUGUGAUCUUCUUGGUGUGGGCUUAUGUUCCUGAGAGUGUGUUAGAGUCGGUAGGCAUCCAUUACUAUCCGAGCCAGUAUUGGGCAAUCGCUCUACCGACAUACCUGAUGGUGACAGUGGUGUUAAUGUUGGUGUUCUACAUCGGCCUCAACUUCAUGUCGACUCCAUCCCCUUCCUCUCUCAACACAUUGUUUGAUGAGUACUGCAGAGAACCCGGGGACUUUGUUCCCGAGACAGAGGAGGAAGAGCAAGACCGGCCCAUCGAGCCAAUCUCGGACCUUGACAUCACAAAAAUUAACCACCUCAUGUUCAAUUCAUGCCAUGCCAACUGAUGAUGCUAUAUAUAUAUCUGACGCUGUUGGGUUCAAGACUUGGAUUCUUGUUAUGUCUUUCGAGAUUUUGAGUAGAUCAGCUAAAGCCAUUCCAUUUCAGUUCAGUUUGGUUUUUUUUUAAAGAGAGGCAAAACUGUUGGAAUAGGGCCAUGAACCACACAGCCUAUCAUAAAGCGUGACUGAUUGAAGGUUUCGCUUCCAUCCAAUUACAUAAAGACAAGAGGGAAGAAUCGCUGCAAAUUGGAAGGAACGAUGGCGUAGAAAACAGAAGUAACACCGGCAAUGUUUUAUGUGUUUGUGUCCGUUUUUCAGACCAAACCCAUUUCAGAAUCUUAAAUUUAUUUGCCUAAUUUUACCACCCAUUAUCUAGAGGGGUUAAUCCCACAAAAAACCUCAAAUUU